Molecule: transfer RNA, 73 nt
Filed under: Pteropus alecto (black flying fox)
Lineage: Eukaryota; Metazoa; Chordata; Mammalia; Chiroptera; Pteropodidae
Rfam family: tRNA
About the family: Transfer RNA (tRNA) molecules are approximately 80 nucleotides in length. Their secondary structure includes four short double-helical elements and three loops (D, anti-codon, and T loops). Further hydrogen bonds mediate the characteristic L-shaped molecular structure. tRNAs have two regions of fundamental functional importance: the anti-codon, which is responsible for specific mRNA codon recognition, and the 3' end, to which the tRNAs corresponding amino acid is attached (by aminoacyl-tRNA synthetases). tRNAs cope with the degeneracy of the genetic code in two manners: having more than one tRNA (with a specific anti-codon) for a particular amino acid; and 'wobble' base-pairing, i.e. permitting non-standard base-pairing at the 3rd anti-codon position.
Source: Rfam by way of RNAcentral
GGUUCCAUAGUGUAGCAGUUUGCACAUCUGCUUUACACGCAGAAGGUCCUGGGUUCAUGCCCCAGUGGAGCCA